CCCUUAGAUGUUCUGGGCCGCACGCGCGCUACACUGAUGCAUUCAACGAGCCUAUCCUUGACCGACAGGUCCGGGUAAUCUUUGAAUCUGCAUCGUGACGGGGAUAGAUUAUUGCAAAUAUUAAUCUUCAACGAGGAAUGCCUAGUAGGCGCAAGUCAUCAGCUUGCGUCGAUUACGUCCCUGCCCUUUGUACACACCGCCCGUCGCUCCUACCGAUUGGGUGUGCUGGUGAAAUGUUCGGAUCGGCCGUUUGUCGCGGUUUCCGCGUCAUGUGGCUGAGAAGUUCAUUAAACCCUCCCACCUAGAGGAAGGAGAAGUCGUAACA
Molecule: ribosomal RNA, 325 nt
Filed under: uncultured eukaryote
Lineage: Eukaryota
Description: partial 18S ribosomal RNA
Rfam family: Eukaryotic small subunit ribosomal RNA
Source: RNAcentral